Molecule: ribosomal RNA, 255 nt
Filed under: uncultured bacterium
Lineage: Bacteria
Description: partial 16S ribosomal RNA
Rfam family: Bacterial small subunit ribosomal RNA
Source: RNAcentral
UACGGAGGGUGCGAGCGUUGUCCGGAAUCACUGGGCGUAAAGGGCGCGUAGGUGGCCUGUGGAAGUCUGCGGUGAAAGCCCGGCGCUCAACGCCGGGUCGGCCGUGGAUACUCUCGGGCUCGAGCUUACUAGAGGCAGAUGGAAUUCCGGGUGUAGCGGUGGAAUGCGUAGAGAUCCGGAAGAACACCGGUGGCGAAGGCGGUCUGCUGGGGUAAUGCUGACACUGAUGCGCGACAGCGUGGGGGAGCAAACAGG